GCUUAUGGCCAUACCACUGACAAAGCCGGAUCUCAUCUGACCUCGGAAGCAAAGUAAAGUUGGGCCUGGUUAGUACUUGGUUGGGAGACUAAAUGGGAAUACUAGGUGCUGUAAGCU
Ictalurus punctatus (channel catfish) is the source of this 117-nucleotide ribosomal RNA. NCBI's taxonomy places the organism in Eukaryota, Metazoa, Chordata, Actinopteri, Siluriformes, Ictaluridae. The record is from Ensembl.